GACGGAAGGUGCAAGCGUUGCUCGGAAUCACUGGGCGUAAAGGGUGCGUAGGCGGCUUGGUAAGUUGGGUGUGAAAGCCCCGGGCUCAGCCCGGGAAGGGCACUCGAAACUGCCGAGCUGGAGUGCCGGAGGGGAGAGUGGAAUUCCUGGUGUAGCGGUGAAAUGCGUAGAUAUCAGGAGGAAUACCGGUGGCGAAAGCGGCUCACUGGGUCUUUUCUGACGCUGAUGCACGAAAGCUAGGGGGGCAAACAGG
RNAcentral lists this ribosomal RNA (253 nucleotides) under uncultured bacterium. RNAcentral describes it as "partial 16S ribosomal RNA". It matches the Rfam family "Bacterial small subunit ribosomal RNA", at positions 524 to 776 of the family's 1533-position model. The record is from RNAcentral.